GACGUAGGGCGCGAGCGUUGUUCGGAAUCAUUGGGCGUAAAGGGCGCGUAGGUGGUUCUGUAUGUCUAUCGUGAAAGCGUACGGCUCAACCGUAUUUUGUCGGUAGAAACUGCAGAGCUAGAGUCUCGGAGAGGAUCGUGGAAUUCUCGGUGUAGAGGUGAAAUUCGUAGAUAUCGAGAGGAACACCGGUGGCGAAGGCGGCAUCCUGGACCGGCAUUGACGCUGAGGCGCGAAAGCCAGGGGAGCAAACGGG
RNAcentral lists this ribosomal RNA (253 nucleotides) under uncultured bacterium. RNAcentral describes it as "partial 16S ribosomal RNA". It matches the Rfam family "Bacterial small subunit ribosomal RNA", at positions 524 to 776 of the family's 1533-position model. The record is from RNAcentral.